RNAcentral lists this ribosomal RNA (452 nucleotides) under uncultured organism. Its description in RNAcentral is "partial 16S ribosomal RNA". It matches the Rfam family "Bacterial small subunit ribosomal RNA", at positions 329 to 797 of the family's 1533-position model. The record is from RNAcentral.
ACGUACACUCCUGCGGGAGUCAGCAGUGGGGAAUAUUGGACAAUGGGCGCAAGCCUGAUCCAGCCAUGCCGCGUGAGUGAUGAAGGCCCUAGGGUUGUAAAGCUCUUUCACCGGUGAAGAUAAUGACGGUAACCGGAGAAGAAGCCCCGGCUAACUUCGUGCCAGCAGCCGCGGUAAUACGAAGGGGGCUAGCGUUGUUCGGAUUUACUGGGCGUAAAGCGCACGUAGGCGGACUAUUAAGUCAGGGGUGAAAUCCCGGGGCUCAACCCCGGAACUGCCUUUGAUACUGGUAGUCUUGAGUUCGAGAGAGGUGAGUGGAAUUCCGAGUGUAGAGGUGAAAUUCGUAGAUAUUCGGAGGAACACCAGUGGCGAAGGCGGCUCACUGGCUCGAUACUGACGCUGAGGUGCGAAAGCGUGGGGAGCAAACAGGAUUAGAAACCCGGGUAGUCCCA